AAUGAACGCUGGCGGCAUGCCUAACACAUGCAAGUCGAACGAGACCUCCGGGUCUAGUGGCGCCCGGGUGCGUAACGCGUCGGAACCUGCCCUUAGGUUCGGCCUACCUCUCCGACUGGGGUGCUAAUACCGGACCAUGUCUUCGGACCAAAGAUUUAUCGCACUUGGUUGGGCCAGGGUUGCAUUAGCUAGUUGGUAAGGUAAAAGCUUACUAAGGCAACGAUCCAUAGCUGGUCUGAGAGGGUGAUCAGCAACACUGGAACUGAGACACGGCCCAGAAUCGUAAGGGAGGCAGCAGUAGGGAAUAUUCCGCAAUGGGCGAAAGGCUGACGGAGAAACGCGGCGUGAGUGAUGAAGGUCUUAGGAUCGUAAAACUCUGUUAUUAGGGAAGAAAAUAUGUGUAAGUAACUGUGCACAUCUUGACGGUACCUAAUCAGAAAGCAACGGCUAACUACGUG
This 458-nucleotide ribosomal RNA is filed under the name uncultured bacterium. Its description in RNAcentral is "partial 16S ribosomal RNA". It matches the Rfam family "Bacterial small subunit ribosomal RNA", at positions 29 to 507 of the family's 1533-position model. The record is from RNAcentral.